Haemorhous mexicanus (house finch) is the source of this 4354-nucleotide long non-coding RNA. RefSeq lists it as uncharacterized. Lineage: Eukaryota; Metazoa; Chordata; Aves; Passeriformes; Fringillidae. The transcript has 3 exons. The record is from RefSeq and is a predicted model, not a curated record.
GCUGCCGGCAGCCCCGGGGGCAGCGCGCAGCCUGCGGGGCUGAGGGUGUGGCGCCGAGAGGUGCCGCCGCUCCGGAGCUGCGGGAAGCGAUCCUUGCCCUCCCGCCGAGCGCGCCAGCGGCGGCACUGGGAAGCAGCAGCGCGGAAAGCAGAUCCCUGCCGCUGUCUGUAAGGAAACCGGGGCCGCGGGAUCAGCACCGAGUGACCGCACGCGUUGCAAACUGCUUCGAGCUAAUUCCUCAUUAUGCUGCAGUUGACCCCACAAGGGCUCUUUUUGGCGCUAUCUGUCUGCAGUGCUCCUUCGGCUCGUCGGUGGCUUCUGAAUUCUCAUCUUGGCCCGCAAAAUGGUUGGGCAAGAGCUCGGUCCCGUCUUGGUUUGUGUCCUCAACAAAUAUUAUAAAUAUAUCCCAUUUCCUCCUUUGGAUCAUUACGUAAAAGAACAAAGACCUGUAGCCGAGACAGAUGCCACCUGUGGGGUUUUUUGCUUAUUUUGCUUUGGAUUUUUUGUUUAGUUGGGUUUUUUUAAUAAUACUAAAGCACAGAGACUCACAGAAUUAGUCAAGUUGAAUCAUCUAGUCCAACCUUCUUGCUCAGACAGGGUCAUUCUAGAGCACAUGGCACAAGAUUACAUCCAGAUGGUUCUUAAAUAUUUCCAGUGAGGGAGACUCCACAGCCUCUCUCAGAAAUUUGUUCCAAUGCUAGGUCAUCUGCACGAUAAAGUUGUUCUUCCUUAAAUUCAGGUGGAACUUCUUGUGCAUCAGUUUCUGUCCAUUGCCUCUUGUCCUAUUGUUUGGCACUGAUCAUUGUUCUGGUGACAGUUUUGAUCUUCCAUCCAGUUUACCCUCACACAAUAAAAGUUCCUUAUGUCAUGUGAGAUUUGCUUAAAACUUUAAGACACACAUCAUCUCCUGCUUCUCUCCCACCUGCAAGCCUUGUAACAACCUUGUGGAGGGAAAUUAGAUUGGUUUGCCAUAAUUUGCUCUUACAAUUCCAUGAAUAGUCCCUUUUCAGCCAAGUGAUAUUAUAGAAAUAAUUCAGAUCUUAGCAAUUUCUGGUCAUUAGUUUGCAAAUAUAAAAUACAGUGUGUAGACAGAGUCUUUUGUUGGUGUCGGUCAUAAUGUGUAAUGGAUCAGAGGAUUUUACAUCAGUUUAAAGUGUUAUUAUAAUAAACAUUUCUUCUCUUUCACAGUGAGCAGAAUUUUCAACAUUUUAAAUGUUUCUUUUUAAAUUAUAUUAUUAAAAGUUCUAAUCAGGCAUUUUGCUAAACACCACCAUUUCCAAAGGCAUGUUCCAGUGCUCAGCUACGACACAUAAAUUAAAAUGCUGAAAAUAGGGGUUUUUUUCCUAUCCUUGAAGUGAUUCUCAUUCGGCCUACAUUUUUGAUGUACCUACAUGAGCGUAUUUUGCCCAUCUACAGACACCUGUAUUUUGCAUGUCCACAGACACCUGAAGAGGUCAAAUCCUUUCCCAAUCAUUUACCCUACUGUCAAACUAAACUGAAAAAAAACCCUGAAAACUAACAAGCUGCUUUGUUUUGAAACUAUGAUAUAGACUCCAGGGCUUUUUUUCACUGCCCCUGGAAAUCAUGUUACCUUUUGCAUUGCAGCUAAUUUGCAUAAUUGUUUUUCCUGCCUGGAGCAGUUGGAGGCAGUGUUAAAGUGCAAGAUAGCAUGCAGGUCACAUCAACGGAGCCGGUACUGCGGGAUCACGGCUAGGCACACACUUGAGAUAUGGGUCACUUCAAGGCCUUUGCAGGAAAAGAACAUGGUGAAAAUGUACAAUUCACUUCUUCAUUUUGACAAUAGCUCCAACACUGACAACAUUAAUAUGCAAAUACUUUUGUGGGGUUUUGUAAAGCUGAUCUAGCACAAGCUAAAAUUGAGCUAACAAUCCUCAAUAUUUUUAGUUUUAAUAAUUUAUUCUAGCACUUGUUUGUUAACUACCCUGUUAGCAGGAUAGCUAACCUGGCAGUAGGUUGUAUUGAGUAUGAGCAUGAAAUGUAUUUGGCCAUCAGAAAGGGAAUCAAUUUGCUCAGCAAUACAGCAGACAUUUUCAAAAUGCCUUGACUCUAGUGGAAUACACUGCAGUUUGACUGGGUAGUGUUUCUGUCUCUACUAACUGUGAAGAAAAUUUUACAAGUGUAUUGUACACUUCUCACAAUUGCUCUUGGCUUCGCAUUUAAAUUUUAACAUUUGAAAAUAUUGUUCUGUGUUGUUUAACUGGUAUAUUAUUGCACAGCACACAACACAACAUACAGUGGUAAAAUAGGAGUCUAGGAAAAUGCAACCAAAAAUUAACAAAAUUUUUACUGUCAGACAUCAGUCUUGAUGGAAACUACAGGUAAUCUCAGCAUCUUUCAGAAAAUUCCACUUCAGACUUUUCAAAAGUGUAACAAAAUGAAAAACGCAAUAUUUAAUUUUAAUGCAAAUUGAUAAUGUUUUCUGUGAGUAAAUGUAGGAAAAUGUUGCAUAGACUCUAAAUUGCUAUUCAACCUGAACAAUAACAUGAUAAAAACAGAACUGAUUUGUGUGUGAAAUUAGGUUGUCUUGUGUUUAAAUAUAUUUUUUCUCUACCCAAAAUCAAUUAAGAAUGAUUUCUUGCCAAAAUAACUCCAAAAUUGAAAAAUGAAAUAACAUUUGAAAAAUGAUUGGUAGAUAAUUAGGUUGGUUUGUGUGCAGCAGGAUGUAAGUGACUUAAAAAAAAAAAUUAUCCAUUCUCAUUUCUGGUUGUCUGCAUAGUACCACAUUAAUAACAUAGUAACUGCAAACUCUUCCUCAUAUAAGCCAUUUAUUUCAGACACAAUUUGAGAUAGAAAGUAUAUUAAAGAAUGGCAAAAGAAAGAUUCUUCAGAACCAAGGGGUCAUUUUAGCUUCAUGACCAGGCCUGCAACCUUUGGCCACAGAGGUAUACCACUGCAUACUAGGAUGUAGCCAUGAUAUUUUCUGAAAAAUCCUUUCCUUAGGAUUUGUUCUCCUGAGAAGCUGAGAGGCCUCAGGAACAAAACGUAGACAAUAACUAUCUGCUGCUGUGGAAUGCAACAGGUGGAUCUGUGAUUGGUCUCGUGUGGCUGUCUCUAAUUAAUGACCAAUCGCAGUCCAGCUGUCCAGACUGUCUCAAUCAGACACAAGUCUUUGUUAUUCAUUCUUUUUCUAUUCUUAGCCAGCCUUCUGAUGAAAUCCUUUCUUCCAUUCUUUUAGUAUAGUUUUAGCAUAAUAUAUAUCAUAAAAUAAUAAACCAAGCCUUCUGAAACAUGGAGUCAACAUUCUCGUCUCUUCCCUCAUGCUGAGACUCCUAUGAGCACUGUCAUACUAGGAAGAGUGUGUGCAGCAUGGGAGUCUCAGAUUCUGGGGUUUUUCCCCCCUGUCUGGUUGGCCUGGUACCAUUAAAGUAAAUAAGCUAUGGAUCAGUAUGCCUGAGGGGAAAAAAUGAUGGGAGCUGUGACUCAAGGAGAAAGCUUUUGGCCUGAAGCUGUGCACAACUAGCAGAUAUAAUCAACUGCUCAAAUCACAAAACUGUACUUCCACAACAGCAAUACCAGCCUUCACUGCAAACAAUUCUGACAUUUGUGGGGACACUAAAUUGGCUCUGCUGGAAGAGCUAAAGAGGUGGACCAAUUCUGAUACAGAACUGGAGCUAAAGAGGUGGACCAAUUCUGAUACAGAACUGGAGCUGAAGAAGCCAUAACCUUCCUCAGAGGUAUGGUACAAAGCACAAAGAUAAAAACUACAGUACCAUCUUCCUUUAUCAACUUUCCCCAGAAGUCUGCAAUGGUUCUUCCAAAUGCUGAACAGACCUGGGGGGUAGUUUAGAAGGUAAAGUGGAUGAUAGUCUUCACUCUGUCUCUUCUCUGGAGAGCUGUUUCUGGUAGCUCUGCAUAGGCAUUGUGCCAUACUUGCGGUCUUUGACAAGACUGCUCAUUUCUGCUGUCUGACUUGUACUAGGGAAAUUCUUCAUGCCCUUUUUGCUUUUCUUAUUUAAAUAACUCUGGAGGAAGGAGGAUGAUGGUUGGGAGCCAGACAUGCUCCUGACCUCUGGACAGUACUUUGAAUAAGUCAGUACUAGAAGUAAAAUUAUUCUGACACCACCAGCUAAUCCUCUCUGCACCCACACCACUGUUGAGCAGUACCUUGUCUCUUCCAGCUAAUCAGCAUUUCAGCUAACAUUUCUGAGGCGGCAGUGGGCUUAAGUGGGUCUUGAACUACACUGAGAAAUAGGCUACAAAAAAUAAUCACCAAAUAUAGGAGCCAGAGAACCUAUUUGUGCUAUUUUUGUUAAGGCGAGUAGCUCACAAAGAGGAACAAAAUAAGUAAAUUGGGAGAAAAAGAGAAGAAAAGGAGGUCAUUCUCCAACAGAAA